This 123-nucleotide ribosomal RNA is filed under the name Rauschiella tineri. Its description in RNAcentral is "partial 5.8S ribosomal RNA". It matches the Rfam family "5.8S ribosomal RNA", at positions 34 to 154 of the family's 154-position model. Rfam says of the family: 5.8S ribosomal RNA (5.8S rRNA) is a component of the large subunit of the eukaryotic ribosome. It is transcribed by RNA polymerase I as part of the 45S precursor that also contains 18S and 28S rRNA. The record is from RNAcentral. Lineage: Eukaryota; Metazoa; Platyhelminthes; Trematoda; Plagiorchiida; Plagiorchiidae.
CGAUGAAGAGCGCAGCCAACUGUGUGAAUUAAUGUGAACUGCACACUGCUUUGAACAUCGACAUCUUGAACGCACAUUGCGGCCAUGGGCUAGCCCAUGGCCACGCCUGUCCGAGGGUCGGCU